Molecule: non-coding RNA, 250 nt
Filed under: Desulfotomaculum nigrificans
Lineage: Bacteria; Bacillati; Bacillota; Clostridia; Eubacteriales; Desulfotomaculaceae
Description: T-box sequence
Rfam family: T-box leader
About the family: Uncharged tRNA acts as the effector for transcription antitermination of genes in the T-box leader family. T-boxes are found upstream of many aminoacyl-tRNA synthetase genes and some amino acid biosynthetic genes usually in Gram-positive bacteria. The anticodon of a specific tRNA base pairs to a specifier sequence within the T-box motif, and the NCCA acceptor tail of the tRNA base pairs to a conserved bulge in the T-box antiterminator hairpin.
Source: RNAcentral
UCAACGACUAUGAUGGAGAAAAGUAGAUCGUUCCCAGCCUUCCAGGGAGAAGAAGCCGCGACUGGAAGCUUCUUUAAGGUAUGGUUGAUUGAAGUUCUCUUCGGAGUUGCUGUACUGAACUUUGAGUAGGUGCAGUCGGGAGUUCCCGCCGUUAAAAGGGAAGAGGUAUCGGAUUGAUAUGUCCAGUACCGGUAAAGUGGCCUUUUGGCAAUUAGGGUGGUACCGCGAAAUCAAGCAUUUCGUCCCUUGG